GAGCUCGUUAGCCGUGGUAGGCAAUCUGCCUAGGAGAGCAAACUCUAAACAAACCCGGGCAGGUGGAGGUCGUUAGCCGUGGUAGGCAAUUCACCUAGGAGAGCAAACUCUAAACAAACCCGGGCAGGUGAGGCUCGUUAGCCGUGGUAGGCAAUUCACCUAGGAGAGCAAACUCUAAACAAACCCGGGCAGGUGAGGCUCGUUAGCCGUGGUAGGCAAUUCACCUAGGAGAGCAAACUCUAAACAAACCCGGGCAGGUGAGGCUCGUUAGCCGUGGUAGGCAAUUCACCUAGGAGAGCAAACUCCGAACAACAAACCCGGGCAGGUGGAGCUCGUUAGCCGUGGGAGGCAAUUCACCUAGGAGAGCAAACUCCGAACAACAAACCCGGGCAGGUGGAGCUCGUCAGCCGUGGUAGGCAAUACACCUAGGAGAGCAAACUCCGAACAACAAACCCGGGCAGGUGGAGCUCGUCAGCCGUGGUAGGCAAUCUGCCUAGGAGAGCAAACUCCGAACAACAAACCCGGGCAGGUGGAGCUCGUCAGCCGUGGUAGGCAAUCUGCCUAGGAGAGCAAACUCCGAACAAUAAACCCGGGCAGGUGGAGCUCGUCAGCCGUGGUAGGCAAUCUGCCUAGGAGAGCAAACUCCGAACAAUAAACCCGGGCAGGUGGAGGUCGUCAGCCGUGGUAGGCAAUUCACCUAGGAGAGCAAACUCCGAACAAUAAACCCGGGCAGGUGGAGGUCGUCAGCCGUGGUAGGCAGUCUGCCUAGGAGAGCAAACUCUAAAUAAACCCGGGCUUGUGGUGCUCGUUAUACUGUCGUAGACAAUCCACGCGAUGGGAACACCAAAGAAAAGGAAAAUAAAAAAGAACACCAGAAAAAUGGAAAAUACAGAAACGAAACAUCAAGAAAAGAAACAAAAAGAUCAUCCACCUUUAGGCCCUAACAUCGCCAAAAUUAUGGGUGGGUCUCUUCUGGGGAGAAAGCGGCUCACCCAGACCAAAGAACAUCAACAAGGGAUGAUAUAGAAAAGAACACCAAAAAAAUAUGGAAAAAGAACAGAAAAAACAUCGAAAAAGAAAAGCAACAGAAAUAAAUGAGCAACAUCGAGAAAAGAGAAAUACAAAGAAACAUCAUCCACCUUUCGGCCCCAAACAACAUCACCAAAAUUAUGGAUGGGUCUCUUCUGGGAGGAAAGCGGCUCAUCCAGACCAAGGAACAUCAACAAAAGGAUGAUGGGAAAAAAAUAACAACAAAAAACAUCAAAAAGAAGUAAAAAGAAAAAGAACAGGAAAACAUCGAAAAAGAAAACAAAAGCAAUAAAAAGAACGAAAAACACGACAUCAAGAAAAUAAAAUAAAACAAACAUCAUCCACCUUUCGG
Long non-coding RNA from Eriocheir sinensis (Chinese mitten crab), 1381 nucleotides. RefSeq lists it as uncharacterized. Lineage: Eukaryota; Metazoa; Arthropoda; Malacostraca; Decapoda; Varunidae. The record is from RefSeq and is a predicted model, not a curated record. The transcript is spliced from 6 exons.